Molecule: ribosomal RNA, 447 nt
Filed under: uncultured bacterium
Lineage: Bacteria
Description: SSU rRNA
Rfam family: Bacterial small subunit ribosomal RNA
Source: RNAcentral
AGAACGAACGCUGGCGGCAGGCUUAACACAUGCAAGUCGAACGGUUGUAGCAAUACAGCAGUGGCGCACGGGUGAGUAACGCGUGGGAACAUACCUUAGAGUUCGGAAUAACAGCGGGAAACUGCUGCUAAUACCGGAUAUUCUCCUCGGAGGAAAGAUUUAUCGCUCUAAGAUUGGCCCGCGUCAGAUUAGCUAGUUGGUGAGGUAAUGGCUCACCAAGGCUCCGAUCUGUAGCUGGUCUGAGAGGACGACCAGCCACACUGGAACUGAGACACGGUCCAGACUCCUACGGGAGGCAGCAGUGGGGAAUAUUGGACAAUGGGCGAAAGCCUGAUCCAGCCAUGCCGCGUGAAUGAUGAAGGCCUUAGGGUUGUAAGCUCUUUUACCAGGGAAGAUAAUGACGGUACCUGGAGAAUAAGUUCCGGCUAACUUCGUGCCAGCAGCCGC